This 617-nucleotide long non-coding RNA is filed under the name Fukomys damarensis (Damara mole-rat). RNAcentral describes it as "lncRNA (ENSFDAG00000025300.1)". The record is from RNAcentral. Lineage: Eukaryota; Metazoa; Chordata; Mammalia; Rodentia; Bathyergidae.
GAGCUGCUUCGGUUUACGGCGCCGGGGCCGCCGCAGUCCGGAGUGCACGGCCCGCGGCCCCGCUCCCCGAGCUGCGUCCCAGCGCUUUCUGAGGGGACCCGGAGGGGAAAGGUUACGGUUAAGAUUUUGAGUACGAUUUUGUCAAGCUUCAAAUACCCUUCGUCCCCAUCCAGGUCUCCACCAAAGUUCCCACCGCGCAGACAACAGUUGCAGAAAUUUACUCUGGCAAAGGCGUCUUUUCAAGAUUCUGCUAAUUAAACGAAGGACCUCUGGUCUUAAAAGGCAAGGCUGCCCCCCGCUUUUGAAAAACCUCAGCGUUUCUUUCUUGCCAUAAAUAAACUUAAAAAUUUGUGGCUUAGACUGCUUAAUACCCUGACAGUUGCAUGAACAUAUCUGCCAGCCCACACUCAGUUCUCUGACGCUCCGGCGUUCAGCUGCAAGUGUGAGGCGAUGAGAGCCACAGAUGCCCACGGGGAAUACGGACGCCUGGAAACAAGGAUUUGGUAGAGAAGAAGAUAGUCUAUCACUGGGUGGUGAUUAUGUACAUCAUUAUGAUACAUCUCCAGUAAUGCACAUUAAUGCUGUUGAAUUAUGCUAGAAGGACAAAGGAAGACUUA